RNAcentral lists this ribosomal RNA (2529 nucleotides) under Pseudodonghicola xiamenensis DSM 18339. RNAcentral describes it as "bacterial LSU rRNA". It matches the Rfam family "Bacterial large subunit ribosomal RNA", at positions 308 to 2925 of the family's 2925-position model. The record is from RNAcentral. Lineage: Bacteria; Pseudomonadati; Pseudomonadota; Alphaproteobacteria; Rhodobacterales; Paracoccaceae.
CCAGCCGAGCCUUGAGAGUGACUAGAACAUGCUGGAAAGCAUGGCCAUAGCGGGUGACAGCCCCGUAUAGGAAGCUCAAUGGGACGUAUUAAGUAGGGCGGAACACGUGAAAUUCUGUCUGAAGAUCGGAGGACCACCUUCGAAGGCUAAGUACUCCUUACUGACCGAUAGCGAACCAGUACCGUGAGGGAAAGGUGAAAAGCACCCCGACGAGGGGAGUGAAACAGUACCUGAAACCGGACGCCUACAAUCAGUCGGAGGCUCCUAGCGAGCUGACGGCGUACCUUUUGUAUAAUGGGUCAUCGACUUGGUCUCACGUGCAAGCUUAAGCCGUUAGGUGUAGGCGCAGCGAAAGCGAGUCUUAAUAGGGCGUCGAGUUCGUGGGAUCAGACCCGAAACCGAGUGAUCUAGGCAUGACCAGGAUGAAGGUUGGGUAACACCAACUGGAGGUCCGAACCCACACCUGUUGAAAAAGGUCGGGAUGAGUUGUGCCUAGGGGUGAAAGGCCAAUCAAACUCGGAGAUAGCUGGUUCUCCGCGAAAUCUAUUUAGGUAGAGCGUCAUCCGAAUACCCCGGGGGGUAGAGCACUGGAUGGGUAAUGGGGCCCCACAGGCUUACUGAUCCUAACCAAACUCCGAAUACCCGGGAGUACUAGAUGGCAGACAGACGGCGGAUGCUAACGUCCGUCGUCGAGAGGGAAACAACCCUGACCUCCAGCUAAGGCCCCCAAUUCAUGGCUAAGUGGGAAAGCAGGUGGGACGACCAUAACAACCAGGAGGUUGGCUUAGAAGCAGCCAUCCUUUAAAGAUAGCGUAACAGCUCACUGGUCUAAAUAAGUUGUCCUGCGGCGAAGAUGUAACGGGGCUCAAGCCAUGAGCCGAAGCUGAGGAUGCCGUAAGGCAUGGUAGCGGAGCGUAGUGUGACAUAGCUUCAUGCCUCUUUAGACUUCUCCGGAAGUCACUAGAGGCUCGAAGCUUUCUGUGAAGCCGGCGCGUGAGCGAUCCGGUGGAGAGAUCACUAGCGAGAAUGAUGACAUGAGUAGCGACAAGGAGUGUGAGAGACACUCCCGCCGAAAGUCCAAGGGUUCCUGCUUAAAGCUAAUCUGAGCAGGGUAAGCCGGCCCCUAAGGCGAGGCAGAAAUGCGUAGUCGAUGGGAACCAGGUUAAUAUUCCUGGGCCGUGUGGUGGUGACGGAUCACGGAUGUUGUUCGACCUUAUCGGAUUGGUCGGGCCGCUGAGUGGUCCCUGGAAAUAGCCCCACUUUAGGACCGUACCCUAAACCGACACAGGUGGACUGGUAGAGAAUACCAAGGCGCUUGAGAGAACGAUGUUGAAGGAACUCGGCAAAAUACCUCCGUAAGUUCGCGAGAAGGAGGCCCGGUUCCUAGGCAACUAGGGGCUGGGGGCACAAACCAGGGGGUGGCGACUGUUUACUAAAAACACAGGGCUCUGCGAAGUCGCAAGACGACGUAUAGGGUCUGACGCCUGCCCGGUGCCUGAAGGUUAAAAGGAGGGGUGAGAGCUCUGAAUUGAAGCCCAGGUAAACGGCGGCCGUAACUAUAACGGUCCUAAGGUAGCGAAAUUCCUUGUCGGGUAAGUUCCGACCUGCACGAAUGGCGUAACGACUUCCCCGCUGUCUCCAACAUCGACUCAGCGAAAUUGAAUUGCCUGUCAAGAUGCAGGCUUCCCGCGGUUAGACGGAAAGACCCCGUGCACCUUUACUACAGCUUCGCACUGGCAUCAGGAUUGUGAUGUGCAGGAUAGGUGGUAGGCUUCGAAGCAGAAACGCCAGUUUCUGUGGAGCCUCCCUUGAGAUACCACCCUUCGCACUCUUGAUGUCUAACCGCGGUCCAUCAUCUGGAUCCGGGACCCUGCGUGGCGGGUAGUUUGACUGGGGCGGUCGCCUCCUAAAGCGUAACGGAGGCGCGCGAAGGUUGGCUCAGAGCGGUCGGAAAUCGCUCGUUGAGUGCAAUGGCAGAAGCCAGCCUGACUGCGAGACUGACAAGUCGAGCAGAGACGAAAGUCGGCCAUAGUGAUCCGGUGGUCCCGAGUGGAAGGGCCAUCGCUCAACGGAUAAAAGGUACGCCGGGGAUAACAGGCUGAUACUGCCCAAGAGUCCAUAUCGACGGCAGUGUUUGGCACCUCGAUGUCGGCUCAUCUCAUCCUGGGGCUGGAGCAGGUCCCAAGGGUAUGGCUGUUCGCCAUUUAAAGAGGUACGUGAGCUGGGUUUAGAACGUCGUGAGACAGUUCGGUCCCUAUCUGCCGUGGGUGUAGGAUACUUGAGAGGAGUUGCCCCUAGUACGAGAGGACCGGGGUGAACGAUCCACUGGUGGACCAGUUGUUAUGCCAAUAGCAGUGCUGGGUAGCUAUGAUCGGACAGGAUAACCGCUGAAGGCAUCUAAGCGGGAAGCCCCCCUCAAAACAAGGUAUCCCUGAGGACCGUGGUAGACCACCACGUCGAUAGGCCGGAGAUGUAAGCAUGGUAACAUGUUCAGUUGACCGGUACUAAUGGUCCGAUAGGCUUGAUUUG